RNAcentral lists this unclassified non-coding RNA (378 nucleotides) under plant metagenome. RNAcentral describes it as "partial contains 5.8S ribosomal RNA, internal transcribed spacer 2, and large subunit ribosomal RNA". The record is from RNAcentral.
UACAUUCUCUCCUUCCUUUUAAUUUCAUAAUUCAUUUAAUCAUCUAAUCUUUUAACUCCCCUUGCGCUCCUUGGUAUUCCUUGGAGCAUGCCUGUUUGAGUAUCAUGAAAUCUUCAAAGUAACUCUUUUGUUAACUCAAUUGGUUUCUACUUUGGUAUUGGAGGUCUUUGCAGCUUCACACCUGCUCCUCUUUGUUCAUUAGCUGGAUCUCAGUGUUAUGCUUGGUUCCACUCGGCGUGAUAAGUUAUCUAUCGCUGAGGACACUGUAAAAGGUGGCCAAGGUAAAUGCAGAUGAACCGCUUCUAAUAGUCCAUUGACUUGGACAAUAAUUUUAUGAUCUGAUCUCAAAUCAGGUAGGACUACCCGCUGAACUUAAGC